UUGGGGUGGGGUGACUGCGUACCUUUUGUAUAAUGGGUCAGCGACUUAUAUUCUGUAGCAAGGUUAACCGUAUAGGGGAGCCGAAGGGAAACCGAGUCUUAACUGGGCGUUAAGUUGCAGGGUAUAGACCCGAAACCCGGUGAUCUAGCCAUGGGCAGGUUGAAGGUUGGGUAACACUAACUGGAGGACCGAACCGACUAAUGUUGAAAAAUUAGCGGAUGACUUGUGGCUGGGGGUGAAAGGCCAAUCAAACCGGGAGAUAGCUGGUUCUCCCCGAAAGCUAUUUAGGUAGCGCCUCGUGAACUCAUCUUCGGGGGUAGAGCACUGUUUCGGCUAGGGGGUCAUCCCGACUUACCAACCCGAUGCAAACUGCGAAUACCGAAGAAUGUUAUCACGGGAGACACACGGCGGGUGCUAACGUCCGUCGUGAAGAGGGAAACAACCCAGACCGCCAGCUAAGGUCCCAAAGUCACAGUUAAGUGGGAAACGAUGUGGGAAGGCUCAGACAGCCAGGAUGUUGGCUUAGAAGCAGCCAUCAUUUAAAGAAAGCGUAAUAGCUCACUGGUCGAGUCGGCCUGCGCGGAAGAUGUAACGGGGCUAAACUGUGCACCGAAGCUGCGGCAGCGACGCUUAUGCGUUGUUGGGUAGGGGAGCGUUCUGUAAGCCUGCGAAGGUGUCCUGUGAGGGAUGCUGGAGGUAUCAGAAGUGCGAAUGCUGACAUAAGUAACGAUAAUGCGGGUGAAAAGCCCGCUCGCCGGAAGACCAAGGGUUCCUGUCCAACGUUAAUCGGGGCAGGGUGAGUCGACCCCUAAGGCGAGGCCGAAAGGCGUAGUCGAUGGGAAACGGGUUAAUAUUCCCGUACUUGGUGUUACUGCGAAGGGGGGACGGAGAAGGCUAUGUUGGCCGGGCGACGGUUGUCCCGGUUUAAGCGUGUAGGCUGGUUUUCCAGGCAAAUCCGGAAAAUCAAG
Molecule: ribosomal RNA, 968 nt
Filed under: Salmonella enterica subsp. enterica serovar Mbandaka
Lineage: Bacteria; Pseudomonadati; Pseudomonadota; Gammaproteobacteria; Enterobacterales; Enterobacteriaceae
Also listed under: 1 other name
Description: partial 23S ribosomal RNA
Rfam family: Bacterial large subunit ribosomal RNA
Source: RNAcentral